Zea mays is the source of this 4240-nucleotide RNA transcript. RefSeq lists it as uncharacterized. The transcript has 7 exons. NCBI's taxonomy places the organism in Eukaryota, Viridiplantae, Streptophyta, Magnoliopsida, Poales, Poaceae. The record is from RefSeq and is marked validated.
AAUCUGUGAAAAUGCGUGUCACUUCUUCGGGCCGUCUCGGACAGUCGGACACGCAUGGCUGCUUGCAAAUCGCACCUCCUGGGGGAGUACUGGUUAAACGGGUCCAAAUCUCGGACCCGCAAACGGACCUCACCCACCCGUUCCUCCAUCUCCGCCCCUUGCCGGCGAUGGCACCGGCGCCGGCAGCGGCCUCGGCGGGGCGGAAGUCUCAUGUCACCGUUCUCCUCCUCUACGUAGUGUGCGGCUUGAUCCUGCUGCUUCUCCUCGCCUCCUACUCGCCCCGCCUCCAGCCCCACGCCCACGGCCGCAGCCUCCACCGCCGCCUCAAGCUCCACCCAAAGAGCUCCUUACCAUCCGACGCUUCCUCCGGUGGGAACGGGGGGCAACAGAAGACGCAGCACCAAAACCACCAUGCGGCCUCCUUCGACCCGACCAUCGCCGAGCUGGAGCGUCGGCUGGACGACAAGGAGUGGGAGCGCGAGCACUACAGCCUCCUCCACGGCGGCGAGCCGGAUGACCAUAUGAAGGAGUGGGAGGAGUUCCUCAAGGAGGAGGAGGACUUCAUCAACGACGACGACCGAUUCAACAUCGCCGACCGUAUCCGCGCGCUCUUCCCCAAGAUCGACGUCGCCCCGCAGGACGGAUUCGUCUCCCUCGACGAGCUCACCGCCUGGAACCUCCAGCAGGCCAGGGCUGACCAGCACCACCGCUCCGCCAGGGAGAUGGAGCUCUACAACAAGAACGGCGAUGAGAUAGUCUCAUUCGAAGCCUUCAAUGCUCUGCGCCAAGAAUCCCAUGGAGAGGGCAAUAUGCUUGGGUUCGAAUGGUGGAAGGAGGAUCAUUUCAAUGCGUCAGAUGCAAACGCUGAUGGUUUCCUUGAUAAAACUGAGUUCAAUGAUUUCCUUAAUCCAAGUGAUUCGGAUAAUCCCAAAAUCAUCAAUUUGCUCUGCAAACAAGAAAUAAGGUGCAUGCUUUGUCAGCUUUACAUCUAUUUUCUAUCCUACUUUACAUUAAUUUUAGCAGCAUAUGUGUCAUGGAUUUGGAGUGGUUUAAUCUUGGGUUUAGCCUUAAAAGGGUACAUAAACUUUAUACAAAUCAAUUAUUGGCUUCAGAGUCCUGAAUCCUGAAUCCUCGAGCCAUCAAAAUAUAUGUUUGUGAAAUUUGUUUCAGGCUUAACAUUUUCAUGCUGUAGCAGGCAACAGGGUUUAACCACUAGUGAUUAGUGAAACGACUUUUUAGUUAUAUGCCAGGGCAAUACUUAAUAAUUCCAUUGCUCACGAGAGACAAGCAGUAAUAUGCAUCCUAAUAAUCUGAAUUCUAGAUAGGUUCCACCUAACAUUAGCCCAAGUCAAGGACCAAAAAUCAUGAUCAUACACUAAGAUGACUUACAUGUACUUAGGAGUGGUAAUGGAUCACGAUCCAAAUGCCUCUUCACAAAAGUUAAGGCCCUUAAAUAAUAUUAGUUAAAAAAUGAAUAAGAAUAGAGCCCGACCCUAAUCCGAUUCGAUCCUUAAAAUUUGCAGUGUAAAGUUUAUAGCCCAUUACCACCCCUACAUGUACUAAAGAUGGCAUAACCCUUCAAAACUAAGGUGUUGGUUCACUGAUGAGUGGGCCAUGAGGUCAUAGAGACAUCGCUGAAACUGUCUAUCUUUGAUUAUGUUUUAUGAAAUCUGGGGAGCAUUUGUUCUUACCAUUGCAAUCUUUCUUAUCCUGUCGUUUUGACUAUGUCACAUGCAGUCUAAUUAGUAUCCUGUGAGGCAAGUUCAACUACGUGUCUUAUGUUGAAAAUUGCUGUUCACAUGUCUGAACUGUGUGGACAACAGUUUCUGCAUCGGACACAUUGAAAGAAGUUUUUUUUUUGACCCUUUACACUAAACAACCCUGCCCUGCUACUGUUGUGGUUGAAAACCCCUUAUUAAGUUAAAAAUGCAAAAGAAGCUCAGUUGUUGUGCCACAUCAUCAUAUUGUUAAGUUGCUCCCUGAUAGGAUCUAGAUGGCUAGAGGGAGAUGAAUAGCCUAUAAAAGUUUCUCUAAUAAAAACUUAUCAUAAGAAUUAAGAUAAUACUUAUAUGCAGAAGCGUAAUAAGUAAUAGAGAAUACUUCACAAUAUGAUUAUGAAAAUAAUAUGUAAUAGCAGGUGUAAAUCGAAGCGCUAACCACACAGGGUAAGAGGUAGAGACAAUUUUAUCCCCAAGAUUUGGUUGCUUGCUGGCAGCCUACGUCCUCAUGCGGCGAGUCUAACCUUAGAUGAUUCACAUGCAUAUCGAUGCAAUAAGCCAAGGCCCACAUAUGGUACCGUGACAAUCGCUCUAGGAGAGCACUCCAACAAGCCACCAUUUCACUAAAGGGGUGUUUGGUACUUUGGUUUGUAGGGGCUAAUUUUUAGUCCCUCUAUUUUAUUCCAUUUUAGUCUCUAAAUUGCCAAAUACGGAAACUAAAACUCUGUUUGAGUUUCCAUAUUUAGUAAUUUAGAGACUAAAAUAGAAAAAAUGGAGGGACUAAAAAUUAGUCCAUAGAAACCAAACACCCCUUAAGUUAGUCUUCGUGAAUCUACCGUAGGGAUAAUCACAAGAGCCCCUUACAAUUCGUUGAUCAGAGCUGUCAAUAAUCACCAACGCCGCUCAACUAUCCUCUGCUGCACCAAUGUCGCUCAACCAUCCCCUGAUUAGUGGGAUAUGAUCCUGUUUAUCUAUGUGCACCAGGCUCAUUGCCAUAUGCGCCUGUAAUUGUCUCUGCUAACAAUACUAAACCUUCUAUAACUUACAAACUAGACAUCUCUAUAUUGAACCCAUGGAAAUGAACAAACUAGGUUCUCAGGGAUAAAGAUGUUUUGAGGCAUAAAUAAAUCACUUGAAGCAAAAGAAACUAACACACCUGAGUAAAGCAUGUUGCUUUGAUUAAAACACCAAAGAACCUAUUGAAUGAUCCAUCAUGUCUGGAAACUUGGAAGUUAUUGAUUUUUGUGUCACUCUAAUGAGUUUUUAAAGGUGGAUAACUGGAUAUUCUUCCAUCAUUAACUAUUUAUGUGCACUAUAGAUAGGCUAGCGCAGUGGUGAGGAACCUUCCCACUGAGCCAAAGGUCCUAGGUUCAAUGCAGUCUCUCUGCAAAAAUACAAGGGCAGAGGGAUAAAGAUGGUGAUGGAAAGUUAAACUUUGAAGAAUACUUUACUGGGCUACAUGACCAUAUACAUGGUUAUGAUGACGAGAAUGCAGAUAUUUCCCAAAUUGGGAACAUAACAGUUGCGAAGGAUCGGUUUUUCAAACUUGACAAAGAUAAUGAUGGGUUUAUUUCGGAGCAUGAACUAGAGCCUGUUCUUGAUAAGCUCUAUCUUUCUGAACGCUAUUAUUCUAGACAGCAAGCCAUCCAUGCUAUUUCAGAGGCAGACAAAGAUCAUGAUGGGAGGCUGACUUUGGAAGAGAUGGUUGAGAACCCCUAUGCAUUUUAUGGCAGUGUUUAUCUCAGCAGCAGCGACAACGACGACGAAGACUACUUCCACGACGAAUUUCGCUGAGACCAAUAUUGUUACUAUCCUGACACACGCAAGGAACACAGCUGACGAGCAUCAAGGUGCGCACAGAGGUUCGGAACGUCUAGCAUACUAUGUGUGAUGCCCGGGCUGGGCUGCUGACAGAAUGGGAGAGCUUAGAGUUACGGCCAUGGAGUGAGGAACUAGUUUUUAGCCGCUUGGUUCUUCAAGUUGUUUGUGUUAAAUGGAACGACGACAGCAUCCUAGUACCGGCCAGGCCCAGCAGUGAUGGAUGUUACGCGGCAAGUUGAGCCACCUUUAUCUAGGCUGAGCUGCAUUGGUCUCCAUCCUGAUGUUCCUGCAGCAGGGGAAAUGUAGUUCAGGAGAACAAUGAGUGGAGGAGCGUCAUCUCUGUGGCGAGCGGCUUCAGAAAUCUAACGGGAACGUGUUGUUUGGUGUCCGAAAUGUAUGUGUGUGUGUGUAUGCUAUGAAUUCAAUUAUUUCUGGCAGAAUGUCGCAGUCUAGCGAGCUGGCCCAUCCCAUUGAGAAACAUUCCAUCGGCUGCAUGAGUGCGCCAUGGACGGGAGAUGGAUGUGCCGAAUUAUUGGAGGGAAAGGGUUCACUUUAUUCGUGCCUAGUCAUCAGUGUCAUCAGUACGGAGGUUACAGCGUAUCCACGUGGUCUGCCACGUCAUGUGAAUCCCAGCCGUGGCGCAGGUACAUUCUCGCUGGGUCUUGAACUGGUAAUAAAAGAUAUUUGGCUCUCGAUUUAAA